CCCUUAGAUGUUCUGGGCUGCACGCGCGCUACACUGAUGCACUCAACGAGUUUACGACCUUGCCCGAUAGGGUUGGGUAAUCUUUUUAAAAUGCAUCGUGAUGCGGAUAGAUUAUUGCAAUUAUUAAUCUUCAACGAGGAAUUCCUAGUAAGCGCGAGUCAUCAGCUCGUGCUGAUUACGUCCCUGCCCUUUGUACACACCGCCCGUCGCUCCUACCGAUUGAGUGCUCAGGUGAAUAAUUCGGACUGCAGCAAUGUUUGGAUCCCGAACGUUGCAGCGGAAAGUUUAGUGAACCUUAUCACUUAGAGGAAGGAGAAGUCGUAACA
This 326-nucleotide ribosomal RNA is filed under the name uncultured eukaryote. Its description in RNAcentral is "partial 18S ribosomal RNA". It matches the Rfam family "Eukaryotic small subunit ribosomal RNA", at positions 1470 to 1796 of the family's 1831-position model. The record is from RNAcentral.